UCUCAACGACGCCUCGGAGCGCCGCGAUGGGCUCUGCCCCAGUGCGCGUCGGCGAUUGGUGGAGGGGCGUGGCCCAGGGGCGCGGCUGCCCGCGGAUUGGCCGGGCGCGGCGGGGGCGGACCCGCGCAUGCACUUAAGGGGCGGUGCCAGGGGUGCGGGGGGCAGUGCCAAGAUGUCGACGGCGGCGGUACCGGAGCUGAAGCAGAUCAGCCGGGUGGAGGCGAUGCGCCUGGGGCCGGGCUGGAGCCACUCGUGCCACGCCAUGCUGUAUGCCGCCAACCCCGGGCAGCUCUUCGGCCGCAUCCCCAUGCGCUUCUCGGUGCUGAUGCAGAUGCGCUUCGACGGGCUGCUGGGCUUCCCCGGGGGCUUCGUGGACCGGCGCUUCUGGUCGCUGGAGGACGGCCUGAACCGGGUGCUGGGCCUGGGCCUGGGCUGCCUGCGCCUCACUGAGGCCGACUACCUGAGCUCGCACCUGACCGAGGGCCCGCACCGCGUUGUGGCGCACCUGUACGCGCGCCAGCUCACGCUGGAGCAGCUGCACGCCGUGGAGAUCAGCGCGGUGCACUCGCGCGACCACGGCCUGGAGGUGGGGCCGCCGCCCGGGCCCCGCCCCCCGCCCCGGGGUUUGGCUCUGGCCCCGCGGAAGGCACCGAUGGGUGCUGGGGCUCGUGCGCGUCCCACUCUACACCCAGAAGGACCGAGUCGGCGGCUUCCCCAACUUCCUGAGCAAUGCCUUCAUCAGCACAGCCAAGUACCAGCUCCUCUUCGCUCUCAAGGUGCUCAACAUGAUGCCCGAGGAGAAGCUGGCUGAGGCCUUGGCUGCGGCCACUGAGAAGCAGAAGAAGGCCCUGGAGAAGCUUCUCCCGUCUUCCUCCUGAGCACCGUCUGCAGGCACCUCCAGGGGACACUCUGGAAGCACUGGCCGAGUGUGCAGAUGACAGCAGCAGAGCCACUGCAGACAGGAAGGUCACCACUGGCGGUCUCCUAUGGCCAUGUCUGGAAAGUCUCCCCAGCGCCCGCCUGGCCUGGUAAGGAGAGCGGCACCCCGCCCAGCUGGGCAUCUGUUCGCCUUAGAGCCCGAGGGAGCGGCCGGCGCUGUGGGCACAGGCACUUGACUCUGUAAAUAAAGUACCUGGACCUUG
Equus caballus (horse) is the source of this 1142-nucleotide RNA transcript. It is a transcript of the gene named nudix hydrolase 16 like 1, with no coding region annotated. The record is from RefSeq and is a predicted model, not a curated record. Lineage: Eukaryota; Metazoa; Chordata; Mammalia; Perissodactyla; Equidae.